This 293-nucleotide ribosomal RNA is filed under the name uncultured eukaryote. RNAcentral's name for it is "partial 18S ribosomal RNA". It matches the Rfam family "Eukaryotic small subunit ribosomal RNA", at positions 6 to 293 of the family's 1831-position model. The record is from RNAcentral.
GGUUGAUCCUGCCAGUAGUCAUAUGCUUGUCCCAAAGAUUAAGCCAUGCAUGUCCAAGUAUAAAUCUUUUACUGGUGAAACUGCGAAUGGCUCAUUAUAUCAGUUAUAAUUUAUUUGAUAGUGACUUUACUACUUGGAUAACCGUGGUAAUUCUAGAGCUAAUACAUGCUAGAUGCCUGACUAACCUCUGGGAAUGGAAGGGCAGUAUUUAUUAGAUUAAAAACCAAUGCGGGAAACUGCAGGAGGUGAUUCAUAAUAACUUUGCGGAUCGCAUGGCCUUGGGCCGGCGACGG